UACGUAGGGUGCAAGCGUUGUCCGGAAUUAUUGGGCGUAAAGAGCUCGUAGGCGGUUUGUCGCGUCUGCUGUGAAAACCCGAGGCUCAACCUCGGGCCUGCGAGUGGGUACGGGCAGACUAGAGUGCGGUAGGGGAGAUUGGAAUUCCUGGUGUAGCGGUGGAAUGCGCAGAUAUCAGGAGGAACACCAAUGGCGAAGGCAGAUCUCUGGGCCGUAACUGACGCUGAGGAGCGAAAGCAUGGGGAGCGAACAGG
RNAcentral lists this ribosomal RNA (254 nucleotides) under uncultured bacterium. Its description in RNAcentral is "partial 16S ribosomal RNA". It matches the Rfam family "Bacterial small subunit ribosomal RNA", at positions 524 to 776 of the family's 1533-position model. The record is from RNAcentral.